Molecule: ribosomal RNA, 702 nt
Filed under: Triticum aestivum (bread wheat)
Lineage: Eukaryota; Viridiplantae; Streptophyta; Magnoliopsida; Poales; Poaceae
Description: partial small subunit ribosomal RNA
Source: RNAcentral
AUGAUGGCGGAGACCAAGGCGGUGGCUGCUGCGGUGCCGGUGGAGGCGAGUCCGGUGGAGGUGGGGAGGAGCAGGACGGUGGCUGCUGCGGUGCCGGUGGAGGCGAGCACGGUGGAGGUGGAGGUGGGGAGGGGCAAUACGGUGGCUGCUGCGGUCGAGACGAGUCCGGUGGAGGGGAGGAGCAAGACGGUGGCCGCUGCGGUGGAGGUGGGGGAGGGGAGGAGCAAGACGGUGGUGCUGGUUGCCGUGGACGACAGCGACGCAAGCUACCGCGCGCUCGAGUGGGCCGUGCGGCACGUGGCGGCGACGGCCGGCAUGGCCGGCGCCGGAGCGGUGGAGCUCGUUGUCCUCCACGCCAAGCCGCCCACUUCCCUCGCCGUCAACAUGGGCGGCCCCGGCGUGCCCGGCGACGUGGUGGGGUUAGUGGAGGAGGACCUGCGCAAGAAGGCCGAGGGCGUCGUCGGCAAGGCGCGCAGCCUCUGCGCCGCCAACUCGGUGGAGGCUGUGGUGGACGUGGUCGACGGGGAGCCGAAGCACGUCCUGUGCGACGCCGUCGAGAAGCACCGCGCCGAUCUGCUCGUCGUCGGCAGCCAGGGCUACGGCGCCAUCAGGAGGGCAUUGCUUGGGAGCGUGAGCGACUACUGCGCACACCACGCCGACUGCUCUGUGGUGAUUGUCAAGCAGCCCGGGUCCAAGAACUGA